AUCUAUGGCCAUACCACCCUGAACGCGCCCGAUCUCCUCUGAUCUUGGAAGCUAAGCAGGGUCAGGCCUGGUUAGUACUUGGGUGGGAGAACGUGGCAGACGCUGUUGAUU
Molecule: ribosomal RNA, 111 nt
Filed under: Ovis aries (sheep)
Lineage: Eukaryota; Metazoa; Chordata; Mammalia; Artiodactyla; Bovidae
Source: RNAcentral